CCGCUGCCCGUGAUUAAAUUUAACGGCCGCGGUAUCUUAACCGUGCAAAGGUAGCAUAAUCAAUUGUCCUUUAAAUUAGGACUAGUAUGAACGGCAUCACGAGGGUUUAACUGUCUCCCCCCUUUAAUCAACGAAACUAAUCUUCCCGUGAAGAAACGGGAAUGUAGUUAUAAGACGAGAAGACCCCAUGGAGCUUUAAACUUAAUAUCACUUAUUUAAUAAUAAAACACAAUAUGUAAUAAGAGUGAUUUUAUAGUUUUUGGUUGGGGCGACCCUGGAGAAUAACAAACCCUCCAGAUUGAAAUGAACAAUAGACCUUAUAUAGGACCACAAUUCAAAU
Molecule: ribosomal RNA, 340 nt
Filed under: Hyperolius cinereus (ashy reed frog)
Lineage: Eukaryota; Metazoa; Chordata; Amphibia; Anura; Hyperoliidae
Description: partial 16S ribosomal RNA
Rfam family: Bacterial large subunit ribosomal RNA
Source: RNAcentral